GCACCAAAGAACUCUUCCUUAAUACAACUCACCUCAUUUUCCCUUUUUCCCAUAAAAACCCUCAGCCCCUCUCCUGUAAUCAGGACACUAUUUGGGUUUCUACCCUAAUCUGUGCUCCCUGAAUUGCAAUUCUUUGAUCCCAGAUAAGCAUUUUGCCUCUUAAACUGGUCUCUGUUUUUGUAGGUUGACACAUGGUGCCAGAAAGCGGGACCUGAAGCGAUCCCUGGAAAUGGGUUUGGUACUAAAAUGAGACCGUUUGUGUGCUCCCCGCUUCCACGAACCAGCAGCUCCUCCAAUCGUUGACAUACCAAGGAGUGCAGUCAGCAGCCGCCCCAUUUCUAUGGAAUCAGCCUACAUUUUGGGUUUGGUUUUGAAUUCAC
Molecule: long non-coding RNA, 380 nt
Filed under: Equus asinus (donkey)
Lineage: Eukaryota; Metazoa; Chordata; Mammalia; Perissodactyla; Equidae
Description: lncRNA (ENSEASG00005025211.1)
Source: RNAcentral